This 376-nucleotide long non-coding RNA is filed under the name Medicago truncatula (barrel medic). RNAcentral describes it as "long non-coding RNA (MTRU_LNC005540)". The record is from RNAcentral. Lineage: Eukaryota; Viridiplantae; Streptophyta; Magnoliopsida; Fabales; Fabaceae.
CAGAACAUAAAGGCUGUUAGGCUUAGAUUGUGGCUUCCAAUUCCAAUCAAAUCGCAUGCAUCUCUCAUAUUCAGUAUGUGAUACUUUGGCUCUUCGAAAAUCGCAUUAAUGAGUUGUUUCAAUUAACUUGAUCCAUUUUUCACGGGAAAGAUAAGAGGCACAUCGUUUCGGAUCUCCAUAUACAAAUUUUUUUCCUUUCAUUGUUUCUUUGUGUCUCCAUGGUUUUUCAAAUAUCAGAGAUUUGUUGAGUGUUGCUGGACAUCUUUUGAAAGCUGUAUGUGGAUCAGUACGAAGUCGGACAAUGGGAGUCCUAGCUUCGAAUGAGACUUAUUAAUUUCUUUUUCUUUUUGGAUCUCUUCUCUCUCUCUCUCUCUCU